This 267-nucleotide long non-coding RNA is filed under the name Astyanax mexicanus (Mexican tetra). Its description in RNAcentral is "lncRNA (ENSAMXG00005017928.1)". Lineage: Eukaryota; Metazoa; Chordata; Actinopteri; Characiformes; Acestrorhamphidae. The record is from RNAcentral.
UUAAUUUAUCUCAAAUAAAUUAAAAUAAUGUUUUUAUGUCAUUAUUUGCACAGUGAAUUCUACAAUAGGACCAUCACCCACCCCAGCUAAUGAUUCUAAACCAGCAGAGAAUUCCACAGUUGGACCCUCGUCCACUCCAGCUAAUGAAUCUAAACCAGCAGAGAAUUCCACAGUUGGACCCUCACCCACCCCAGCUAAUGUAUCUCAACCAACAGAGAAUUCUACAGUUAGACCGUCACCCACUACAGUUACUGAACCUAAACCAAC